Molecule: ribosomal RNA, 253 nt
Filed under: uncultured bacterium
Lineage: Bacteria
Description: partial 16S ribosomal RNA
Rfam family: Bacterial small subunit ribosomal RNA
Source: RNAcentral
UACGAAGGGGGCUAGCGUUGUUCGGAAUUACUGGGCGUAAAGGGCUCGUAGGCGGCCAACUAAGUCGGACGUGAAAUCCCUCGGCUUAACCGGGGAACUGCAUCCGAUACUGGAGGGCUUGAGUUUGGGAGAGGGAUGCGGAAUUCCAGGUGUAGCGGUGAAAUGCGUAGAUAUCUGGAGGAACACCGGUGGCGAAGGCGGCAUCCUGGACCAACACUGACGCUGAGGAGCGAAAGCCAGGGGAGCAAACGGG